This 351-nucleotide small RNA is filed under the name Pseudomonas aeruginosa PAK. RNAcentral describes it as "putative antisense RNA". The record is from RNAcentral. Lineage: Bacteria; Pseudomonadati; Pseudomonadota; Gammaproteobacteria; Pseudomonadales; Pseudomonadaceae.
GCGCCUGCGGGCGGUGGAGCAGCGCCUGGAAGCGCUGGUCGAGCGGAUCGCCGGGGCAUCCGGCUAGUCGCGCGCCUGCGGACUCGCCCAAUACAGCUGCCGAUGCCCGCGCGCCUGGUAGUCCUUGACCAGCGCGCAGGCCUCGUCGCGCGUCAGGUCGCGGCGCAUGACGAAGGCAUUGCCGUUGUCGUCCUGGCGCCACAGGCACCAGCGCGUUUCCUCCGCCGGCUUCGCCGCCACCGCGUCAGGCCUUCAGGGUCGAAGUCUUGCGCAAGCGCAGCGCGAGCAUGACCAGCAACACGCCGAAGAACACCGCGUAGGCGCCGAUCACCCAGACCACCGCCAGCGCCC